This 253-nucleotide ribosomal RNA is filed under the name uncultured bacterium. Its description in RNAcentral is "partial 16S ribosomal RNA". It matches the Rfam family "Bacterial small subunit ribosomal RNA", at positions 524 to 776 of the family's 1533-position model. The record is from RNAcentral.
GACGGAGGAUGCAAGUGUUAUCCGGAAUCACUGGGCGUAAAGCGUCUGUAGGUGGUUUAAAAAGUCCACUGUUAAAAAUUGAAGCUUAACUUCAAAGAUGCCGUGGAAACUUUUAAACUUGAGUAUGGUAGGGGUAGAGGGAAUUUCCAGUGGAGCGGUGAAAUGCGUAGAUAUUGGAAAGACCACCGAUGGCGAAGGCACUCUACUGGGCCAUUACUGACACUGAGAGACGAAAGCUAGGGGAGCAAAUGGG